This 229-nucleotide long non-coding RNA is filed under the name Vigna radiata. RNAcentral describes it as "long non-coding RNA (VRAD_LNC003663)". Lineage: Eukaryota; Viridiplantae; Streptophyta; Magnoliopsida; Fabales; Fabaceae. The record is from RNAcentral.
UCAUGAUAUCUGAGAUGUGGGAGCACGGUUGGAUGUUAGCAUGUGUGAACGCCAUCUAGUAUCGGGCUAAAGGUAUCAUAUCCCACCUCCUAAUAUUCAUGUGUGCACCGCUAGCGUUAAUCUGAAAGUGUCUACCAGGAAGACACACAACCUCCUCAAUUUCAGCUACAUUACCAAACAAACCAGCAUGUGCCGCAUAUUGGCACUGCUCCCCUGGCCACUCUGUGCC